CCCACGAGCCCAGCCGCUAAUGUGCACACUCAUACCCGGACGCUCUGCGGUCGGCGACGUUUACGAGCCGGAAGAUGUUCCACCCGCUGCGAAACUGGUUUUACGGAGAAAUUCGGUUCUCUAGCAGCCGUGUUCCACCUUCACUGCUUGAGUGUCCAUAGAAGCACUUCAAGAAAGAUUUAUUGUUAAGGCACCUAAGAAGAGUUACCUCUUACUGGAGGAACAAACCUGAUGUCUCAUCCAGUUAGUUGGAGCUGAAGUGGAAAAAGGGGGUAAAAACAGUUAUCACCAGGUCAUAUCCAAUGAAUGUCCUUUUUCCUAUGUAAAUACACCAUCAGAAUAUUAGGAAAUCCCGCACUAAUAACACUUUCAUGGAACAAAGUGUCUAUUCUAAACACCGGUACAGCUACAAUAAAAAAAUCCGUUUGGAAACAACAACAAAGCUUUUGUUACACAAUACAUACUCUAUGUGCAUGAAUCAAUGAAUCACCUUUAAGAAAAACAGGAAAUUGAAAUAUUCCCUAAAAUAAUUAAAUCUUUCAGGAAUGAAACACUCACAGCGUGGCUCUCCGGGUGGUCUUGGGUUGCUGGCACUGCUGCCAAAGGAUGACUGGAAGUUAUGUAUGGUUUCUUGAAGGAUCUGCCUUUCUCGGCCCUGACCAAGGCACAAAAUGUUAGUUUCACAAUCUCAGGAAAAUAUGGCAAGUUACAGUAUAUUUUGUCAAACUGCAACGGUCCAGAAUUUAAGUAAUUUCAAGUUCAUCUUACAAUAUAACCCUUCAAAAUAAAUGGAUUAUAGAAGAUUUGAUUUGGGAAAAAUGCUCCCGAAUUACCCGUGCACAUGUAGCAACGACUCUCUUGUGACUUCUUCCAACUCCUAGCCUAAAUUUAGCUCCUCCCCCACAUACAACACUUGUCUAUUGGAUGAGA
Molecule: long non-coding RNA, 930 nt
Organism: Phycodurus eques (leafy seadragon)
Lineage: Eukaryota; Metazoa; Chordata; Actinopteri; Syngnathiformes; Syngnathidae
Exons: 3
Source: RefSeq, a predicted model, not a curated record